GACGAACGCUGGCGGCGCGCCUAAUACAUGCAAGUCGAGCGAGAAGACGUAGCAAUACGUUUGUAAAGCGGCGAACGGGUGAGGAAUACAUGGGUAACCUACCCUAGAGUGGGGAAUAACUAGCCGAAAGGUUAGCUAAUACCGCGUACGCUCCUUGGACUUCGGUUCAGGGAGGAAAGCGAUGCCGAGGGUAUCGCGCUCUUGGAUGGGCUCAUGUCCUAUCAGCUUGUUGGUGAGGAACGGCUCACCAAGGCUUCGACGGGUAGCUGGUCUGAGAGGACGAUCAGCCACACUGGCACUGCGACACGGGCCAGACUCCUACGGGAGGCAGCAGUAAGGAAUAUUGCGCAAUGGGCGAAAGCCUGACGCAGCGACGCCGCGUGGGGGAGUG
RNAcentral lists this ribosomal RNA (391 nucleotides) under uncultured bacterium. RNAcentral describes it as "bacterial SSU rRNA". It matches the Rfam family "Bacterial small subunit ribosomal RNA", at positions 28 to 411 of the family's 1533-position model. The record is from RNAcentral.